Molecule: unclassified non-coding RNA, 378 nt
Filed under: uncultured Parachlamydiaceae bacterium
Lineage: Bacteria; Pseudomonadati; Chlamydiota; Chlamydiia; Parachlamydiales; Parachlamydiaceae
Description: contains 16S-23S intergenic spacer region
Source: RNAcentral
UCCUGGUUAACCCAGGCAGUCUCAUUAGAGUUCCCACCAUUACGUGUUGGCAACUAAUGAUAAGGGUUGCGCUCGUUGCGGGACUUAACCCAACACCUCACGGCACGAGCUGACGACAGCCAUGCAGCACCUGUGCACAGGCCCCGAAGGGAAAUACAAUCUCUUGUAUCGUCCUGUGCAUGUCAAGCCUGGGUAAGGUUCUUCGCGUUGCAUCGAAUUAAACCACAUGCUCCACUGCUUGUGCGGGUCCCCGUCAAUUCUUUUGAGUUUCAGCCUUGCGACUGUACUCCCCAGGCGGUAUACUUAUCGCGUUAGCUACGGCACAGCCAGGGUUGAUUCCGGCUACACCAAGUAUACAUCGUUUACGGCAAGGACUAC